Hibiscus syriacus is the source of this 573-nucleotide long non-coding RNA. RefSeq lists it as uncharacterized. The transcript is spliced from 3 exons. NCBI's taxonomy places the organism in Eukaryota, Viridiplantae, Streptophyta, Magnoliopsida, Malvales, Malvaceae. The record is from RefSeq and is a predicted model, not a curated record.
GCAAAGUAAGUUCUUGUAAUUUCAGGAUUUAUUUCUCUUAAGUAGCGUGAGAUUGAGCGCCAAAUUUGUGAGCUUUGUCUACAUCAAGCCAAUAGGGUCUUGUUAUUUAUUUAUUUGUUUUACAUGAAGAAAUGAAGAUGAUAUGCUUUUUUAUUCCCUUAAACAUUUUAAGGCCACCUUUGAACUUGAUUUUCUUUUCUUGGACAAGUUACAGUUUUUGGUGGGGAUGGAGUGCCACGUCUUCGACGUGAAAUUGAAAGGCAUCACCGUGUAUUUAUUGUGCCUCCUAUUGGUCCAAUUGGGGCUCAUGUGACAUUACUCAAUGGUUAAACAUGGGCUCCUGCUGUUGAACAAGCUAUUGGGAAGUUGCUAAAUGCAUUCAUUGUGACAAAUUCGCAGGAUGCUAGUGCUCUUAGAAAAUGUGCAAAGGAGUUAAGAUAUAAUUAUUUUCCGAUUAUUAUACAUAGGUUUUCGAGACCAAGGUUGAUUAUAACAGACCAUUCACUCCCCCAGAUGAACCACCCAGUUGCUCAAUCUCUUUUACAUUCUGAUAAUCCACUGUUUUCAAUGUUU